RNAcentral lists this ribosomal RNA (439 nucleotides) under uncultured bacterium. Its description in RNAcentral is "partial 16S ribosomal RNA". It matches the Rfam family "Bacterial small subunit ribosomal RNA", at positions 339 to 795 of the family's 1533-position model. The record is from RNAcentral.
CUACGGGGGGCUGCAGUGAGGAAUAUUGCACAAUGGGGGGAACCCUGAUGCAGCAACGCCGCGUGGAGGAUGACGCAUUUCGGUGUGUAAACUCCUUUUAUAUGUCAAGAAAAUGACGGUAGCAUAUGAAUAAGCACCGUCUAACUCCGUGCCAGCAGCCGCGGUAAUACGGAGGGUGCAAGCGUUACUCGGAAUCACUGGGCGUAAAGGACGCGUAGGCGGGUUGGAAAGUCAGGUGUGAAAUCCUACAGCUUAACUGUAGAACUGCACUUGAAACUUCUAAUCUAGAGUAUGGGAGGGGGAGAUGGAAUUAGUGGUGUAGGGGUAAAACCCGUAGAUAUCACUAGGAAUACCUAAAGCGAAGGCGAUCUCCUGGAACAUUACUGACGCUAAGGCGUGAAAGCGUGGGGAGCAAACAGGAUUAGAUACCCCCGUAGUC